RNAcentral lists this ribosomal RNA (468 nucleotides) under uncultured bacterium. RNAcentral's name for it is "partial 16S ribosomal RNA". It matches the Rfam family "Bacterial small subunit ribosomal RNA", at positions 28 to 507 of the family's 1533-position model. The record is from RNAcentral.
GACGAACGCUGGCGGCGUGCUUAACACAUGCAAGUCGAACGGAAAGGCCCUGCUUUUGUGGGGUGCUCGAGUGGCGAAAGGGUGAGUAACACGUGAGUAACCUGCCCUUGACUUUGGGAUAACUUCAGGAAACUGGGGCUAAUACCGGAUAGGAGCUCCUGCUGCAUGGUGGGGGUUGGAAAGUUUCGGCGGUUGGGGAUGGACUCGCGGCUUAUCAGCUUGUUGGUGGGGUAGUGGCUUACCAAGGCUUUGACGAGUAGCCGGCCUGAGAGGGUGACCGGCCACAUUGGGACUGAGAUACGGGCCAGACUCCUACGGGAGGCAGCAGUGGGGGAUAUUGCGCAAUGGGCGGAAGCCUGAUGCAGCAACGCCGCGUGCGAGAUGACGGCCUUCGGGUUGUAACCCGCUUUCGCCUGUGACGAAGCGUGAGUGACGGUAAUGGGUAAAGAAGCACCGGCUAACUACGUG